Long non-coding RNA from Phyllopteryx taeniolatus (common seadragon), 346 nucleotides. RefSeq lists it as uncharacterized. The record is from RefSeq and is a predicted model, not a curated record. NCBI's taxonomy places the organism in Eukaryota, Metazoa, Chordata, Actinopteri, Syngnathiformes, Syngnathidae. The transcript has 3 exons.
CAGAUGUCCCUCAUGUGGUCGCAGAUGGCCUUGGCGGCAGACAUGGCGCUGGACAGCUUCCUGGCCUUGAUGACAGCGGCGCCACGCUGCUGCACCGUCUACAUCGCCACAACAACAAUAACAACAACAAGAUUUUGGCUGGCCCACAUUUAGGUCGAAAACCUGCGUGAGCCUACCGAUGUCAGUGACAGAAGACGAGCACGUUUCCUUAUUGAAUGGUGACAUCAUGUGACUGCGGCGGACUGACGGGGACGGCUGGUUGGUGCCGUGUUCGUACGAUUUGAAUCAAUGACAGCCUAAUAAAUUUGUCAUUUUUUUUCAGCAUGUUAAAUUACUGAUUGAACAU